This 447-nucleotide ribosomal RNA is filed under the name uncultured Bacillota bacterium. RNAcentral's name for it is "bacterial SSU rRNA". It matches the Rfam family "Bacterial small subunit ribosomal RNA", at positions 917 to 1359 of the family's 1533-position model. The record is from RNAcentral. Lineage: Bacteria; Bacillati; Bacillota.
GGACCCGCACAAGCGGUGGAGCAUGUGGUUUAAUUCGACGCAACGCGAAGAACCUUACCAGGGCUUGACAUCCCUCGCUAUUUUUGGAAACAAGAAGUUCCGGCCUUCGGGUCGGACGAGGAGACAGGUGGUGCAUGGUUGUCGUCAGCUCGUGUCGUGAGAUGUUGGGUUAAGUCCCGCAACGAGCGCAACCCCUACUUUUAGUUGCCAUCAUUCAGUUGGGCACUCUAAAGGAACUGCCGGUGACAAACCGGAGGAAGGUGGGGAUGACGUCAAAUCAUCAUGCCCCUUAUGUCCUGGGCUACACACGUGCUACAAUGGUCGGUACAGAGGGCAGCAAAGCCGUGAGGUGGAGCGAAUCCCAAAAAGCCGGUCUCAGUUCGGAUUGUAGUCUGCAACUCGACUACAUGAAGUCGGAAUUGCUAGUAAUCGCGGAUCAGCAUGCCG